RNAcentral lists this ribosomal RNA (197 nucleotides) under uncultured bacterium. Its description in RNAcentral is "partial 16S ribosomal RNA". It matches the Rfam family "Bacterial small subunit ribosomal RNA", at positions 335 to 524 of the family's 1533-position model. The record is from RNAcentral.
ACUCCUACGGGAGGCAGCGGUGGGGAAUAUUGGACAAUGGGCGAAAGCCUGAUCCAGCCAUGCCGCGUGUGUGAAGAAGGUCUUCGGAUUGUAAAGCACUUUAAGUUGGGAGGAAGGGCAGUAAGCUAAUACCUUGCUGUUUUGACGUUACCGACAGAAUAAGCACCGGCUAACUUCGUGCCAGCAGCCGCGGUAAU